This 83-nucleotide transfer RNA is filed under the name Flavobacteriaceae bacterium. RNAcentral's name for it is "tRNA-Ser". It matches the Rfam family "tRNA". Rfam says of the family: Transfer RNA (tRNA) molecules are approximately 80 nucleotides in length. Their secondary structure includes four short double-helical elements and three loops (D, anti-codon, and T loops). Further hydrogen bonds mediate the characteristic L-shaped molecular structure. tRNAs have two regions of fundamental functional importance: the anti-codon, which is responsible for specific mRNA codon recognition, and the 3' end, to which the tRNAs corresponding amino acid is attached (by aminoacyl-tRNA synthetases). tRNAs cope with the degeneracy of the genetic code in two manners: having more than one tRNA (with a specific anti-codon) for a particular amino acid; and 'wobble' base-pairing, i.e. permitting non-standard base-pairing at the 3rd anti-codon position. The record is from RNAcentral. Lineage: Bacteria; Pseudomonadati; Bacteroidota; Flavobacteriia; Flavobacteriales; Flavobacteriaceae.
GGAGAGUUGCCGGAGUGGUUAACGGAACAGUUUGCUAAACUGUCGGCUUUCGAGUCGCGUGGGUUCGAAUCCCACACUCUCCG